UUUUGGACAAUGGGGGCAACCCUGAUCCAGCCAUGCCGCGUGUGUGAAGAAGGCCUUCGGGUUGUAAAGCACUUUCGGACGGAACGAAAUCGCGCGGGUUAACAGCCCGCGUGGAUGACGGUACCGUAAGAAGAAGCACCGGCUAACUACGUGCCAGCAGCCGCGGUAAUACGUAGGGUGCGAGCGUUAAUCGGAAUUACUGGGCGUAAAGUGUGCGUAGGCGGCGUCGCAAGUCGAGUGUGAAAGCCCCGGGCUUAACUUGGGAAUUGCGCUCGAAACUACGGUGCUCGAGUGUGGCAGAGGGAGGUGGAAUUCCACGUGUAGCGGUGAAAUGCGUAGAGAUGUGGAGGAACACCAAUGGCGAAGGCAGCCUCCUGGGCCAACACUGACGCUCAUGCACGAAAGCGUGGGGAGCAAACAGG
This 422-nucleotide ribosomal RNA is filed under the name uncultured bacterium. Its description in RNAcentral is "bacterial SSU rRNA". It matches the Rfam family "Bacterial small subunit ribosomal RNA", at positions 362 to 776 of the family's 1533-position model. The record is from RNAcentral.